Molecule: ribosomal RNA, 253 nt
Filed under: uncultured bacterium
Lineage: Bacteria
Description: partial 16S ribosomal RNA
Rfam family: Bacterial small subunit ribosomal RNA
Source: RNAcentral
UACGAAGGGGGCUAGCGUUGUUCGGAAUUACUGGGCGUAAAGGGCGCGUAGGCGGCUUAACAAGUCACUUGUGAAAUCUCCGGGCUUAACUCGGAACGGCCAAGUGAAACUGUUAUGCUAGAGUGCGGAAGGGGCAAUCGGAAUUCUUGGUGUAGCGGUGAAAUGCGUAGAUAUCAAGAGGAACACCUGAGGUGAAGACGGGUUGCUGGGCCGACACUGACGCUGAUGCGCGAAAGCCAGGGGAGCAAACGGG